CAUAGACAGAGUCAAUUGGGACCAGCGACUUAGUUUCAUUUAUAUCUCAACUUUCUGUUGAUUAGUCUUAUUCAUGUGUACACUGUUUGAAAGUGCCGUAUUGACGUUCGAUUAAUAUUUAUAUAAUUCAUAUUUUAUUUCAACUAGACUCUGUAAGGAAUCGAACCUUUAUUUCACAGCAUGCCUUGCCGAUGCUCAACCACAGAGCCAUGAGUCACAUUACUGAGCUCACUGUUUCACUUCGUCAUUUGAGACCGUUUGAGUGGCAUGUGAAGAGCUGCCAUUUUACUAAACUAAACUACACAUGAGAAUGGUAUCUGUCAACCAAAAGCAAGAACAAACAUUGGAAUCAAAUUUAUCAGCUGCAUCUCAACUACUAAUCUAACUAUAUUCAAUUAAUCACCCCCUAAACUUAAAUUCAAGGACUACAAAUACAACUAGCUGCAGUCAAAAACAGCAGUGCCAAAAUUGGUUGCCACAAGUUAGACAACUAUGAUAUAACUACAAGAGCAUAAAUUACGAGUGCAAUCUCUUUCAAUUCCCUACAAUUUUCAAUCUACAUCUGGGAAACAUGUAGUAAGAUUUAAAAAUUAACUAUAAUCAAUCGCAUGAGAACACAACAUGUUUAGUAGACGUGUUUGUAACAGUAAAGUCUCCUUCCAUUUGGGGGAUCUUUGAUUCUCAAAAAGCAACAACAAAGUUUUGUUUCACCACAGACUAGGAGUAGAUUGUAGUCCUAGUCUGCAGUCUCAUUACCAACAUUGUUAAACAUUAGAAAAUAAAAGCAAGUCCUUUAGAGUUAUGAAUAAAAAGAUCAAAAUGGA
Long non-coding RNA from Daphnia magna, 824 nucleotides. RefSeq lists it as uncharacterized. The transcript has 3 exons. The record is from RefSeq and is a predicted model, not a curated record. Lineage: Eukaryota; Metazoa; Arthropoda; Branchiopoda; Diplostraca; Daphniidae.